This 253-nucleotide ribosomal RNA is filed under the name uncultured bacterium. RNAcentral's name for it is "partial 16S ribosomal RNA". It matches the Rfam family "Bacterial small subunit ribosomal RNA", at positions 524 to 776 of the family's 1533-position model. The record is from RNAcentral.
UCCAGAGGGUGCGAUAGUUAAUCGGAAUUACUGGGCGUAAAGCGAACGUAGGUGGCGACGUAAGUCGGGUGUGAAAGCCCCGGGCUCAACCUGGGAAUUGCAUUCGAUACUGCAUUGCUGGAGUACGGAAGAGGAGGGCGGAAUUCCCGGUGUAGCGGUGAAAUGCGUAGAUAUCGGGAGAAACAUCAGUGGCGAAGGCGGCCCCCUGGUCCAGUACUGACACUCAAGUGCGAAAGCGUGGGGAGAAAACAGG